Molecule: long non-coding RNA, 243 nt
Filed under: Solanum tuberosum (potato)
Lineage: Eukaryota; Viridiplantae; Streptophyta; Magnoliopsida; Solanales; Solanaceae
Description: long non-coding RNA (STUB_LNC002715)
Source: RNAcentral
UUGUCCAGUGGCGGAUCCAGGAUUUGAAGGCUAUGGGUGCUCACUUCCUUUAGUGUAAAGUUGCUUGCCAAGAAGGGUUUCCUUCUAAAAACUUAUAUUUUUAUAGUUUAGUUAGUAAAUGAAAUAUUAAAAAUAGAAAAGUGAAAAAACAAUAAAUCGAAAAGGAAAAAAAAACAAGCAAAUAACAAUGAAUAAGAAUAAAAAGAAGAAAAGGAAAAAAAAAACAAGCAAAUAACAAUGAAU